UACGGGAGGCAGCAGUGGGGGAUAUUGCGCAAUGGGGGCAACCCUGACGCAGCAACGCCGCGUGAAGGAUGAAGGUUUUCGGAUUGUAAACUUCUUUUAUCAGGGACGAAAAAUGACGGUACCUGAUGAAUAAGCUCCGGCUAACUACGUGCCAGCAGCCGCGGUAAU
RNAcentral lists this ribosomal RNA (168 nucleotides) under uncultured rumen bacterium. RNAcentral describes it as "partial 16S ribosomal RNA". It matches the Rfam family "Bacterial small subunit ribosomal RNA", at positions 340 to 524 of the family's 1533-position model. The record is from RNAcentral.